GGUAGGUUUGGAUAAGAGGCCAGGAGAUGACAGCUAUGGUUGAGAAUUGGUGCCAUGGGCCAGACAAACUGUAGUUAUUGUCUCAAUUAAUAUCCAAACCCAUUCUGCAGGUGAGAGAUUGUUGUUAUCAUUCCUUUUAGAGGAGAAAUCUGAGGCCCACAGAGGGGGAGUGAAUUACCCAAAGUCAAGAGCUGAUGAGGGCUGAGCUGAAUGCAGCUCUUUCCCCUCUUUCCCCUGUACAGUCUCCUCUGGGAACAACAACAUCCUGGGUUCCUACAGGCCCUUUGCUGCCAUCCUGCCAUUCCUCCCCCUGGCCACUCAGUAGAGGGAUGCCCACUGGGUCUGUAGCCCUGACUCUGCAACCCUGACUCUGCUGAUGUCUGCUCUUGGGGCUCCUUCUGCACCUCUGACUGGGGUUAGGCUUUGGAAUGUUGGAGAGAGAGUCCUUCAUGUAAGCAUGUCUAGUUCCUAACAGAGGGCAGUGCUCCAUAUAAGAGUACCCUUGUGUGAGCAUCGGCAGAUCCCUUCCUCUUCUGGCUUCAUUUCUUUUUCUUUUCUUUCUCUCUUUCUUUUCCUUUCUUCCUUCCUUCCUUCCUUCCUGCCAUGCUGGGGACCCAAUCCAGGGCCUUGUGCAUGUGAGGCAAGAUUCUACCAGCUGAGCUAUAUCCCAGUCCUUGGCCUCAUUUCUUCAGAUGGGAGACCCUGGGCUGGAAUGUCAGGACACCAGUAGUUCAUUCUGCCUCACUCUUUGGGAUUUAACUUCUUUCAGCCUCAGUUUUCCUACCUGUGGAAUGGGAUGAUGAUCCUUGAUAUCAGCCUCACAAAAUCUGUGAGUACUAAGCCCAAUAAUUAGUGUCCUUGUGUUUAAAAAUGUAAUAGGAAGGGGGAAGUCAGCUCAAUAAUAUCUCAAUAUUGGAUCUGCUUUUUGAAAUGGCAGAUCUGAUAAGAGAUAAGUUCUGCAGGGCUUCUACUUGUCCCCCUGGGCCCUGCCCCUGUACUUCUGCUUAUUCAAAGCCUCUCCCCUUGCUUGUGGCCUAUUCUACUCAUCUGCUCCCAGAAUUCUUAUGCACCCUGUGAGGCCUCACCCUGGGCCUGCAUCCCAGCAUCCUCUCCUAGUUCCCUCUCUCUGCCAGUGGUUACUUCCUGUGUUUGAUUCUCCCUCCUUCCCAGGGUGAGGCCCUAAACCUCCUUCCUCCCUUUGUCCCCUGAUCUGGCAGAGUCCUGGAAACAUACCAGGGCUUAGCCAUGUGGCACAGAACCCAAGGAUUUUCUGGUUGAUGAACAUAUGGCAGUCCAGGAAACAGGAGUCUGGGGUCUUCAAGGUGGAGGGACCGGGGUGCUUCAGUGGGGCCUGUGUGUGCUGGCCUUAGCCAUGAAGGAAGUGCUUUUGCUCAUGCUGACCUCCUCACCUUCACCCAUAGGAUGCCCUGUAUCACAGAGCUAGAGUCAUCAGAAGCCCUGUGUCUAUACUGGGGACAGAGUAGCUGAUGAUCAGGAUGACUCCCAGGGUAUCUACCAGGCAUGUUUCCACACAGACCACCCCUUAUGAUGAAUGAUCCCUAUUCCUAUGGCCUUAUAAGUACUCGGACUUAGUGAUAGGGCUUUCCUGAUUCUCAUCUCAAGUCAAUGGUCACUGAAUGUCCACUGUGCCAGCUGAUUUCUUUAAAUUUUUUUUAUAGUUGUAGAUGGACAGUAUGUAUGUAUGUAUGUAUGUAUUUAUUUAUUUAAUGUGGUGCUAUGGAUCAAACCCAGUCCCUUAAAUGUGCUAGGCAAGCACUCUGCCACUGAGCUAUGACCCAGCCCAUACCAGCUGAUUUCUGGGCCCUAACAACUCUAGGUUUUUAAUCUAGAAGAAGGGGAAAAAGUACAAGGAACCUUGUCUGAAUUCUCUGUCCCUAGGCCAUGGUUCCUGGGACAAGAGUGGAAGUAUAUUACAGGGAUCAGGAGGUGAAAAUGGGGACAGGCCUGGUAUUCUGCAGGACAUGUGUGUGCUGUCCUGGCCUUUUCCCAGGGAGUUUCACAGUCACCUUCAACAGUCAUUCCUGGAGUCCCUACUGAUCCUUAGUUCUGGGUCCUGAGAAGACCAUGGGUUCCCCUUUUCCUGGACUCCUAACCCCAAGCUCCAUGGUUCUUCCCUUGGGAAAGCUCUCCCUGUCCUUCAUUAAGAUAUUGCUGAGAAUUCCUGGAACUAGAGGGAGCAACUGGGUAUAGAGAGCAGAUAUUGGGCUGAAAGAGGCACUUGCCAAAAACUGACCCUCCCAGAGGUAGGGGAGAGCAAGAGCCCUGGACCAGGUCUUGUGUGGCAUCUCCAGGAAGAGGGAUCCCCCUCUUCCUGGAGACUCCACACAAGGUCUGGACCCUUUCAUGGUCCCUUACCCACGUGUCUCAACCUUGAUUUUUUUUUUUAAAUCUAGAAGUAGGGUAAAAAGUACAAGGAACCUUGUCUGAAGUCCCUGUCCCUAGGUUAUGGUUCCUGGGGCAGGUGUCCUAGGUCCUGUGGGCCCUGAGCAAUCCAUGGAGAAAGCUGGAUAGAGCAGGGGUCCAUCUGGUAUGGAUUGAGGGUAGCCAGCACCUGAGUUAGCAAUGAGAUUGGGACUUGAGUCUCUUCUGUAGCUUUGAUCAGGUCAGUCAGGGUCUCUGGGCCAUCAUUUCUCUACCAUGUGACGAGGAUUCUCAUAGGUUCUUCCUUCAAGGGUGGUUUGGCAGUGAAGUAGGUCUGGAGAGAACUUGUUGGGGACCAUAGGAAGGAAAUGCCUCAGAGCUGUGCCUGAAAGCAGCCCCUUCUGCAUGACUCCCACAGCAGAAAAGGCCAUGGGAGACCGGGGAGGAUGGCAGGGUUGAGCCUGGGCUGGAAGGCCCCAAUGGUAGCCCAAACCAGAGACUGUACAGGACACAUGGAGGGAGAGGAAUAGGGAAGAAGGCUCUCCAAAUACCCAGAGAACUGAGAAUGGAGCUAAGGUAAGCUGAAUGAGGGACUCCAAAGACUGUGCUUCCUAACCCCACAAACUGGGAAUGUGUUAUAUUGUGUGAGCACAAGAAUCUUGCAGAAAGGAUGAUGUUAAGAAGCCUGAGAGAUAGCUCCAGAUUAUCUGGGUGGUCUCAAGGCAGGGUAUUUACAAGGGAAAGAGGGAGAUGGGAGGUCAGAGUGAGAGAAGAUGUGGGGAUGAAAGCAAAGGAGAGAAACAGGGAGAGGGAGAGGGAGAAGAGAGAGAGAGAAAGAGAAGAGAGGAGGGAGAGAAAAAGGGAGAGACAGACUUAAAGGGCAGAAACAGAGAUUUGUAGAUGUUGUAUUACCAACUUUGAAGUUGGAGGAAAGAGCCAGGAGAUAGAUAUCUGGGGUCACUAAGGUGGCCCAGGAAUGCAGUGUCCUCUAAGAAUUGGAAAAGGCCAGGAAGUGGAUUCUUUUCCAGAGCCUCUGGAAGGAGCCCAGCCCUGCUGACACGUUGGUUUUAAUCCCCACCCCACCCCAAAUACAUUCUGACCUCCAGACCUAUGAGAGAAUAAAUGCAUAUUAGUUUAAGCCACUAUAUUUGAGGUGAUAUGUUUCAGUAGCCACAGGAGACUCUGAUAGGAGCUGAUGGGGAGACAUCUUGUACCCUCACAGCCCCCACUCAUGAUGACACAGACCUGACCCUUGGUCUUGAGACCCACUGCCUCUAACUCCCAUGGUACAGUGAAGGGGCUGAAGCCCAGGGACUGCAGGAGGGGCUGGGAUGGGGCUGGGUAUAGUUGUCUCCUUCAUUGUCAGGGAGUGUUUGGAGCUCUAGAUCCUGCUAGUCAGCCUCACAGAGAAAAUAUCAGUAAAGGACCUAGUUUUCCUGCUGACAUUCACCAUUGAAUGAAGUGUUUCCAAUGAAUAUUGCUUUCUCCACCAAAGGAAGCUAACAGGUGACCUUCUGUGCCACAGAGUUUAGAGAAUCACCAUGUCCUGAGGCCACUGAUUGGUCACCUGUGUGUGUGAGAGAGAGCCCAGGUCCCCUGAGUGCUGAAGCCUCAGGUAAAAAUGUCCUUACUUCUAAUUGUACAAGACACCCUCUCUCAGUGUCAAAACAUAAAUUCCCUCCAGCAAAGACUUUGUUUAGCCUCAUAGAAAUUAUGAGGCACCUAUUUCCUUCCUCACACUGGUUCCCUGGGAGUUAGGAGCUUAUCUUUGGCAAGUGUCCUAAAGUUCUUGUGGGCUUUUUGUGUGGCAGUUUCUUCCCAGCUUCUUCUGAUUUCUCUUUUAGCUCUGAACCUACCACUGGAUAAGAAAUUGAAGAAUUUAAGAGCUUGUGAAGUCAACAGCACUAAAUGUUCUUAAUUCCAUGGACUAUCAGGAGUGAUGGGGAGGGAUUGGGGGUGGGCAGGAGCUGAGCAGGAUGGAGAGGAAGAGGGGAUUCCUGUGGGUUGGCCCACAGCAGGGUUUCCAGGCUGAGGAAGAAAGGACAUGGAGUAGGUUAGACUGGCCCAAAAAGGGUGGGGAGAAAAAGUAUCUCAGGAAGUCCUAGCCAUGGAUGACUGUCCAGGAAGGACCAGGGAUUAGGGGGGUCCUGUACUGGGAGGAGGAAGGGGAGUGAUCAGUCAGGAUUCUCUAGAGAAACAGAAUACACACACACACACACACACACACACAAAUAUAAAAAGGAGAUUUAUUAGAUUGGUUUAUACCAUCAGAGGCUAGUCCCAAUGGCCGUCUACAUACUGGAGAGCCAGAGAAACCAGUAGCUGCUCAGUUUAAGAAGCUGGAGUCUCAGAACAAGAGGGACUAAUGAUGCAACCCAAGGCUGAAGGCCUGGAAGCUCCGUGGAGAGCCACUGGUGCAAGUGCACAUUGAAGGGCUGAAGAAGCUGUUGUCUGAUGUCCGUGGGUGAUGGCAGCAGCAAAAGACGCUCCGGUGCAAGAAUUCAACUUGUACCUGCUCCUUCUUCCACUUUUCCUCUGGGUCUCCAACCUAUUGGGUAGAGCCACCCCCUCAGUUUGCUGUCCUAUGUACAAACUAUCUCUGGAAACACCCUCAAAGACACACCCAGGAGUGCAGUUUGUUAAUUUCUUGGACAUCUCAAUCCAAUCAAUUUGAUGAUCAAGAUUAACCAUUACAAGCACAUAUGUAUUCAGAACUUCAUUGGAAGCAUUCUAUUUAUUAGUAUCUUUCUUUUGAAAAUAUGAAUUUUCUUAUAUUAGAAAUGCUUCAGAAAUAUUUUUAUGAUACUGAUGUCUUUAUUUUUCAUAAUAAUAAUAAUAAUAAUAAUAAAACUUCAUUGAGUGUUAACUUUCACGCCAGAUUCUAUUUUUCACAAACAUUUUGAAGGUUUGUGUAAGAUGCUUUAUGAUGGUUGUGUCACACUGCUUUGUCCCACUCUUUCUCAUGGAUAUUUGGACUAUUUCUAGUUUUUUUUCUAUCAUUAUUAAUGUUGAACUAAACAUUUUGUUUGUAAGUCUUUGGUUAUGGCUUUGAUUAUUUCCUGCUCUACCAGGAAAAAUUCCUAGCAGUGGAAUUAUGGAAUUAUAUACUUUAGAUAAACACUCUCUUUUAAUGACUUGCUGCCUCUUCUAAGUUGGUUGUACAUUUAAAUGCCUACAGACAGUCCACAAGUGUCCAUUCCUCUCUGGUAUUGUCACUCAUCAAUUUCAUAGGAAUUUUGGCUCCUGGUCACCAUGUGGAACUAUGCCUCUUGCCAUCCCUAGUGCUGGGGUCCCCAUCUUCAAAUCUGGCCUCACACCUUUUGAAAAACGUUUUUUCAAAAUGAAGCCUGACUCUUAACAGGCCCCUAUUUAGAUUUCUCUA
Molecule: long non-coding RNA, 5764 nt
Filed under: Marmota monax (woodchuck)
Lineage: Eukaryota; Metazoa; Chordata; Mammalia; Rodentia; Sciuridae
Source: RNAcentral